This 301-nucleotide ribosomal RNA is filed under the name uncultured bacterium. RNAcentral's name for it is "partial 16S ribosomal RNA". It matches the Rfam family "Bacterial small subunit ribosomal RNA", at positions 509 to 807 of the family's 1533-position model. The record is from RNAcentral.
CAGCAGCCGCGGGAACACGUAGGUGGCAAGCGUUGUCCGGAAUUAUUGGGCGUAAAGGGCUCGCAGCCGGUUUCUUAAGUCUGAUGUGAAAGCCCCCGGCUCAACCGGGGAGGGUCAUUGGAAACUGGGAAACUUGAGUGCAGAAGAGGAGAGUGGAAUUCCACGUGUAGCGGUGAAAUGCGUAGAGAUGUGGAGGAACACCAGUGGCGAAGGCGACUCUCUGGUCUGUAACUGACGCUGAGGAGCGAAAGCGUGGGGAGCGAACAGGAUUAGAUACCCGCGUAGUCCCUGUCUCUUAUAC